This 46-nucleotide transfer RNA is filed under the name Mammut americanum (American mastodon). RNAcentral's name for it is "partial tRNA-His". Lineage: Eukaryota; Metazoa; Chordata; Mammalia; Proboscidea; Mammutidae. The record is from RNAcentral.
CUAGGUUGUGAGCCUAUAAACAAGAAUUUAUUCCUCUUUGUCUACC